Molecule: unclassified non-coding RNA, 3456 nt
Filed under: Brachypodium stacei
Lineage: Eukaryota; Viridiplantae; Streptophyta; Magnoliopsida; Poales; Poaceae
Description: 35S rRNA intergenic spacer
Source: RNAcentral
NCCUNCCCCACAACUUAUGGUGUCGCGAAUUAGGUCGCCUAAGUUCAACCACCGGGCGGCAGCUGCUCGCCAUUGUUCCGCCAUCAAGGAAAACGACCAGGUGCCGCCAUCAAGGAAAACGACCAGGUGCCGCCAUCAAGGAAAACGACCAGGUGUCGCCACCAAAGGAAGGAAAAAGACCAGGUGUCGCCAUCAAGGNAAAAGACCGGGUGUCGCCAUAAAAGAAAUCGACCGAGUGUCGGCAUCAAGGNAAAAGACCAAGCGUCGGGGGACCCGUACACGCGGAAGGUUGGUGCUGACACUCGCACCAUGGUGAAAAACGCCACCUCCGCCCUUUGCAACCUGAGAAACGGUGCCGCCGACCCGAAACUUGACGAAGCGGCCCGCAGCCGAGAGUUGGCGGUCUCGGUGCAUGGCCGCCCCGGACCGAACACGGGGGCCUGGCAUGGUUCCGGGGGGUCGGGCCCAAGAAAGUGGUCGCACGGCCAAAGACGUGGGCGUCGCGGGACAAGUCCAACUCGGGAACGACGCGGCAAGAGUUGGCGGCGCGGACACUCACGGCGAGGAACGCCUUGAGUGCCCUUUGCAACCUGAGAAGCGGACUGGCGCGAAACGCGAAAAAUGACCCGCCGCUGCCCAAAGUUGGCCGUAUCAUCGCAUGGCCGCCGCGGCCCCAACACUUUGGGCUUUGGUUCUUUGGGCGUUGGGAUCUGGGCUGCGAAACGUGAAGGAACACUCUAGGCGGAAGGAUGGCUUUGGUAGGCUAGAGGGACGCAGUAACUUGUGACUUUGGAUCUUGGGCGCUGGGCUGCGAAACGUGAAGUAACCGCGGCACAAGGAUGUCCCUUUUCUCGACCCACCGGGCACCGUAAGGCACAGGGAUGCUUGUACGGUUUGAACGUCGUGGCUACGCUGGCGCAUGAGUUGUCACCGUCAUGUUGCCCCGGAAAUCCUUUGUGUUGCCAUUGUCACUCCCGCGCGCUGUGGGCCUUCGGACGCCGUACGUUUAGUAGGCAUGGCCGUGCUUAAUUUUGAAGGAAACAAUGUGGGUUGCCCUCCCCGGGUAAAGUAAGGCUGGUCGGUCCGCGAAGUUCCUGCCGCGGCGGAAGGUGUUUGCCCAUUUUGGACCGUUCGGCAGGGGCGGGGCAACGUAGUGUUGGCGGGUUGGCAGGGAACCCGCGGGGGGAUGGGCCCCCCGGGUGUAGUAGGGGGAGGCGCUCCCCCGACGGGCCGCGGCCGCGGCAGAAGCGCGGCAGAACGGUUUCCAUUUUCUCGACCCGUGAAGCUCUUCGGUUGCUAAUUUUGAUGGAAACCACGUUGUCUUGCCCCAUCGGGUAACGUAAGAAGGGAAGGAUAGGCGGGCGCGGCAGAAAUCCUGCCGCAGCAGCACUGCGGUGUCAGUUUUCCGUCCCCGUGACUUUGUUGGGAUGCCUCGGGAAUGCUUUGUGUUGCCGUCGUCACUUUCGCGCGCUGUGGCCCUUGGGACGCCGUACGUUUAGUGGACCCGCCGUGCUCUGCACGUUGGGCAGCGCAUGAGUCGUCUUCGACCAGUGUCUGCCGGCAGAUCCCCCGCCGUUGUGCGGCCGACUCCCGGCGCCUGUGUCCUAUCGGCGUUGCACGGACGGCUUUUACUUUGCUGCGUUACCGGAAAGUGCUCGCGUGAUGGCCGCUGACCAACGGGAAGUCGUUCGUCGUACUGAGUUGCCUUGCGGUGGACGCCCGUUGGUGUUCCGCCGCGGCCGAAUUGCGUCGUGGAGCCGUACACGCGGUAGGCGGGCGCGGCACAAACCCUGCCGCGGCUUGACUGAGGUGUCCGUUUUUCGCCCCUGUGACUUUGUUGAGAAGCCUAUUUCGAGGGAAACAACUCUGUUUGACCCGACGGGUAAAGCAACUCCGGCGUGCGCUGCAGGAAUCAGGCGGCGGCAUAAGGUUGCCCGUUUUUCGGCGCCUUGACUUUGUUGGGAUGCUUAAUUUGAAGGAAACAAUGUGGGUUGCCCUCCCCGGGCAAAGUAAGGCUGGUCGGUCCGCGAAGUUCCUGCCGCGGCAGAAGGCGUUUGCCCAUUUUCGACCGUUCGGCAGGGGAGAGGCAACGUAGUGCUGGCGGGUUGGCAGGGAACCCGCGGGGGGAUGGGCCCCCCGGGUAUAGUAGGGGGAGGCACUCCCCCGACGGGUCGCUGCCGCGGCAGAAGGGCGGCAGAACGGUUUGCAUUUUCUCGACCCGUGAAGCCCUUCGGUUUGCUAAUUUUGAUGGAAACCACGUUGUCUUGCCCCCAUCGGGUAAACGUAAGAAGGGACGGAUAGGCGGGCGCGGCAGAAAUCCUGCUGCGGCCGGGUACUUCCUGCCGCAGCAGUAUUGCAGUGUCCGUUUUUCGGCCCCGUGACUUUGUUGGGAUGCCUCGGGAAUGCUUUGUGUUGCCAUCGUCACUCUCGCGCGCUGCGGUGUGGGCCUUCGGACGCCGUACGUUUAGUGGACCCGCCGUGCUCUGCACGUCGGGAUGCUUGCACGGUUCGACCGUCGUGGCUACGCUAGCGCAUGAGUUGUCUCUGUCAUGUUGCCUCGGGAAUCCUUUGUGUUGCCGUCGUCACUGCCGCGCGCUGUGGACCUUCGGACGCCGUACGUUCAGUAGACUCGCCGUGCUUUGCAUGGUGGGAUGCCCGUACGGUUUGACCGUCGUGUCUGCGCUAGCGCAUGGGUUGUCUGUGUCAUGUUGCCUCGGAAAUCCUUUGUGUUGCCAUCGUCUCUGCUGCUUGCUGUGGGCCUUCGGACGCCGUACGUUUAGUAGACCUGCCGUGCUCUGCACGGCGGGAUGUUUGUACGGUUUGAACGUCGUGGCUACGCUAGCGCAUGGGUUGUCUCUUUCACGUUGCCUCGGGAAUCCUUUGUGUUGCCUUCGUCACUCCCGCGCGCUGUGGACCUUCGGACGCCGUACGUUCAGUAGACCUGCCGUGCUCUGCACGGUGGGAUGCUUGCACGGUUCGACCGUCGUGGCUACGCUAGCGCAUGAGUUGUCUUUGACCAGUGUCUGCCGGCAGAUCCCCCGCCGUUGUGCGGCCGACUCUCGGCGCCUGUGUCCUAUCGAUGUUGCACGGACGGCUCUUACUUUGCUGCCUUACCGGAAUGUGCUUGCAUGAUGAUCCCUGACCAACAGGAAGUCGUGUGUCGUGUAGAGUUGCCUCGCGGUGGAUGCCUGCUGGUGUUCUGCUGUGGCCAAAUUGCGUUGGUGGUGUUACCUCGUGGAGCCUGCACGCUAUGCGCCUGGAGCUUCCGAGGACACCUCGCUUCCCGCUCUUGGUCUCGGAUGUCGCUCAUGAUAGAGGCUCGUGGCCCUUUGUCGUCGCGUCCCUUUCGGAAGCUCACUCAAUAGCCGACAGCUGCUCUGUUUGUGGCCGUUGCCAUGCCUUGUAAGCGGCUGGCAUGUGCGACUCUCGGUGUCGGCUUGUCGACGAGGACGUGCU